UCUAUGGCUAAUACAUGCGCAAAUGCCUCCUUCUCUGGAGGGGCUGUGUUUAUUAGAUACAAAACCAACCCACUUCUGUGGAGUCUGGUGAUUCAUAGUAACCGAACGGAUCGCAUUUGGCUUCGGCCCGCGAUAGAUCUUUCAAGUUUCAGACCUAUCAGCUUUCGACGGUAGGGUAUUGGCCUACCGUGGCAGUGACGGGUAACGGGGAAUUAGGGUUCGAUUCCGGGGAGGGAGCCUGAGAAACGGCUACCACAUCUAAGGAAGGCAGCAGGCGCGCAAAUUACCCAAUGAAAACAGUUUCGAGGUAGUGACGAGAAAUAACAAUACAGGGCAUUUUAUGCUCUGUAAUUGGAAUGAUGGGAAUGUAAAACCCUUCCAGAGUAACAAUUGGAGGGCAAGUCUGGUGCCAGCAGCCGCGGUAAUUCCAGCUCCAAUAGUGUAUAUUAGAGUUGUUGCAGUUAAAAAGCUCGUAGUUGGAUUUCUGCUGUGGUCAUCCGGUACCGCCCGUAUGGGUGCGCACCUGGUUUGGCUCCGGCUUUCUUCCUGUAGCCGUCCGCGCUUAAUUGCGUGUACUGUGUUACGGAACUUUUACUUUGAGAAAAAUAGAGUGUUUCAAGCAGGCUUGUCGCCCUGAGUACUUCAGCAUGGAAUAAUAGGAUAGGACCUUGGUUCUAUUUUGUUGGUUUCUAGGACCAAGGUAAUGAUUAAUAGGGACAGUUGGGGGCAUUCGUAUUUAACUGUCAGAGGUGAAAUUCUUAGAUUUGUUAAAGACGAACUACUGCGAAAGCAUUUGCCAAGGAUGUUUUCAUUAAUCAAGAACGACAGUAGGGGGUUUGAAGACGAUUAGAUACCGUCGUAAUCUCUACCAUAAACUAUGCCGACUAGAGAUAGGGAAAUGCCUACCUUGGCUUCUCCUGCACCUCAUGAGAAAUCAAAGUCUCUGGGUUCUGGGGGGAGUAUGGUCGCAAGGCUGAAACUUAAAGGAAUUGACGGAAGGGCACCACCAGGCGUGGAGCCUGCGGCUUAAUUUGACUCAACACGGGGAAACUCA
This 1054-nucleotide ribosomal RNA is filed under the name Eimeria bovis. Its description in RNAcentral is "SSU rRNA". It matches the Rfam family "Eukaryotic small subunit ribosomal RNA", at positions 157 to 1217 of the family's 1831-position model. The record is from RNAcentral. Lineage: Eukaryota; Apicomplexa; Conoidasida; Eucoccidiorida; Eimeriidae.